Molecule: long non-coding RNA, 1109 nt
Filed under: Ursus maritimus (polar bear)
Lineage: Eukaryota; Metazoa; Chordata; Mammalia; Carnivora; Ursidae
Description: lncRNA (ENSUMAG00000006978.1)
Source: RNAcentral
GUCCGGUGACUCGAACACCUCUGAAUUUCUCAGCCACUGGCUUAAUCUGGGAAGGCUGAGGGCCACCUGCCUUCAUUACCAUCUCUGACCAUGUGGCUAUCAUCUGGCCUUCCAGACUCUCAGGUAUAAUGGUAGAACUGGAGCCCAGGGGCAGCUGGGGAAUGGGGUCCGGGGCAGCACUCAGAGGAGGGUGUUGAGGGAGUGGAAGGGCUGGAGGUGAGCUGGGGUAGGGGUGCGGGGGCGGUGGGAUGGCACAGGAGAAGCACAAACUGGGCUUCUUUGCGGUGUUCUGGGUAGUGUCCUGCUCGGUAUAUCUGGCUAAUAGACUCAGUGGGAUGCGGCCAUGGAAUCUGGGUUGGUAAGUGGAUAAGGCAUUGGUGCUAAUCAUCUUUGAAUUUAUUAUUGGACUUAAAAAACCACUUUCACAUGCUUUUAAAUAUUGACUAUUAAAAAAAUCUUGUUACUGGGGUGCCUGGAUGGCUCAGUUGGUUAAGUGUCUGCCUUCUACUCAGGUCAUGAUCCUGGGGUCCUGGGAUCGAGCCCCGCUUCGGGCUCCCUGCCCAGUGGGAAGUCUGCUUCUCUCUGCCCCUCUGCUCCUCUCCUCACUCAUGAUGUCUCUCAAAUAAAUAAAGUCGUUUAAAAAAAUCUUGUUACUCAAGCCUCUUUUUCCCUCAGACAAUUACGUGCCUUUGGCAUAUGGGAUUUUUGCCUGAGCUGAUGAUGAAGAAGAUGUGUGCCAUGAGCCCGUACUGCCUCCAAAGUGAUGGCUGCCAAAACUAACAGCUGUGAAAUUAUUUGUGACUGUUACGGAUAAACAUAUUUGUCCCUACUCAUUAUAUGAUCCCAUCUGCUGUGCAUUCCAGCUCCCCCUGAGGCCACGGACAACACAGGCUCUGACCCUCUGGGUACACAGGAAGUCUGCCAAGAAGGGCUCUGCUCUCACCCUUGUGGGAGACGGUGGGUCACUUCCUGGUUCUUUCCUAUUAUUAUUGUUAAGUUUGAAUAGGACUGAUGACCGGGUGUUAGGUAGUUUUCUAAAACCUUUUGAAUUAUUAAAGUUUAUUACAGCACUUGAAAAAAAUGAAAAAAGUUCAUGUCACUCAUAUUCC